Molecule: ribosomal RNA, 493 nt
Filed under: Methylophaga sp. ME02
Lineage: Bacteria; Pseudomonadati; Pseudomonadota; Gammaproteobacteria; Thiotrichales; Piscirickettsiaceae
Description: bacterial SSU rRNA
Rfam family: Bacterial small subunit ribosomal RNA
Source: RNAcentral
CUUCGGGUUGUAAGCACUUUAAGUUGGGAGGAAAAGCUGAGGGUUAAUAGCCUUUAGUGUUGACGUUACCAACAGAAUAAGCACCGGCUAACUCCGUGCCAGCAGCCGCGGUAAUACGGAGGGUGCAAGCGUUAAUCGGAAUUACUGGGCGUAAAGCGCGCGUAGGCGGUUUGUUAAGUCAGAUGUGAAAUCCCCGGGCUCAACCUGGGAAUGGCAUUUGAGACUGGCAGGCUAGAGUAUGGUAGAGGUGAGUGGAAUUUCAGGUGUAGCGGUGAAAUGCGUAGAGAUCUGAAGGAACAUCAGUGGCGAAGGCGACUCACUGGGCCAUUACUGACGCUGAGGUGCGAAAGCGUGGGUAGCAAACAGGAUUAGAUACCCUGGUAGUCCACGCCCUAAACGAUGUCAACUAGGUGUAUGGAGAAUUUAUUCUUUGUGUAUCGAAGCUAACGCGAUAAGUUGACCGCCUGGGGAGUACGGUCGCAAGACUAAAACU